UGAUAGGAAGAAAAUAGGUGUGUGAGGCAGGAUUCAGGUCGGAGAGGCUGAAUUCAGUUUAUUCGACAGCAUGUUUCUUAUUUUCUGCGGUAAAGUGUGACCAUUUGUACUUUUAUACCGACGGUGGGAUGGGCUCUAAAAUACACAUGAGCUAUGGGUAAUAUAUUUUGUACAGUAUGGGAUUUGGUGAGUGACCAUUUGCGCAUUUGGUUUACUACGCAUUAUUUAUUAAUGUUCCCUCGGAUGCCUCCUCUGAAGGUUUGGAAACGAACGCAGAUGAAUCUGUGAGGGAAUUCUGUUAACUGAGAUCCAUGACGUCACGCCUCGUCCGCGUUGGGGGAGAAUGACGCACCUGGUGUAAAGCGCAGAUUGUGAUCGUCAUCGUCACGACGACAGCGGACUCCUCUCCACACAAAAACUAAAAGCCAGAUCCACAGCGCGACGUCUAGACGGGAUGCGAACCACGCCCUGCGGGUCUUCUGUCAGCCUGGAUUAUUUACCAUACAUAGCAAACAACUGAACAAAUGCAUCGCAAUAUAAUUACAAUAAUACGGCAUCUGUGUAUAAAGCACCGUAAGAGUUAAUAUUAGAUUGGCCAUAACCAUUGCAUAGCCCAUGUUUAACGUUUUUCCUUUUUAGCAUUUAUUCCACCACUUGUUUCAUAUUUUCUGACGACAUGACUUCUGGUGAGUUUGGAAACAUACAUUUUUGUAAUAAAUUAUGUAUAAACUGAA
Long non-coding RNA from Gadus morhua (Atlantic cod), 734 nucleotides. RefSeq lists it as uncharacterized. The record is from RefSeq and is a predicted model, not a curated record. NCBI's taxonomy places the organism in Eukaryota, Metazoa, Chordata, Actinopteri, Gadiformes, Gadidae. The transcript is spliced from 4 exons.